Long non-coding RNA from Dreissena polymorpha, 535 nucleotides. RefSeq lists it as uncharacterized. Lineage: Eukaryota; Metazoa; Mollusca; Bivalvia; Myida; Dreissenidae. The record is from RefSeq and is a predicted model, not a curated record. The transcript is spliced from 3 exons.
GUUUGGGUUUGGUCAAUCAACUGGCAUUUAACGCGAUAAAUAAAUAUUAAGAUGAUGAAUAAAUCUUAUUGCAUAUUGGCUUUUGUUGCAUCCUUUGCGAUGAUUGGAUGUACAGUUUUACACAAUGUCACCAAAGUGUCUGAUAUUACGUUGGAAAUAGCGUGUUCAUUCACGGAGACAUCCUAUGGAGUGUUUACUCGAAAACAAGUGGGUAGUAAUAGAUCUGUGGAUGUCAUAAGUGUGAAUGUAUCUGCGUGUUUUACUCCCGACACAUCUCCGGGUGUAACUGCAAAAUGUAUUUGCAAACAUAAUGUUGUGUGCAAUAUUACCGGAACUUUCGAAGUUGACCUUGAGGACCAAUUGCAGUGUCGAACCUAUAUGCACGGCCAUCUAACUUUAUACAAUGGAAAAGUCAUUCAAUUACACAAAGUAAGGCCGUCUACUUUAUCCCCGACUCAUACAACUGACAACCAUACAUUACCGUAUGUGGAAAGCAAAUCUGAACAAAUAACAGAAGUCUCGUUUACUGCAAAUG